AGAGUUCGAUCCUGGCUCAGAAUGAACGCGGGCGGCGUGCUUAACACAUGCAAGUCGUACGAGAACGCUUCAGCUUGCUGAAGCAAGUAAAGUGGCGUACGGGUGAGUAACGCGUGGGUAAUCUACCUUCGAAUCGGGGAUAACGCUGCGAAAGCGGUGCUAAUACCGGAUAAUAUCUUUUGGGCCCUGGCCUUUAAGAUCAAAGGUGGCCUCUACAUGUAAGCUACCAUUUGAGGAUGAGCCCGCGUACCAUUAGCUUGUUGGUGGGGUAACGGCCUACCAAGGCCGCGAUGGUUAGCUGGUCUGAGAGGAUGAUCAGCCACACUGGAACUGACACACGGUCCAGACUCCUACGGGGGGCAGCAGUGAGGAAUUUUGCGCAAUGGGGGAAACCCUUACGCAGCAACGCCGCGUGAGUGAUGAAGGCUUUCGGGUCGUAAAACUCUGUCAAGUGGGAAGAAACUGCUUCAUGUUAAUAUCAUGUUGCACUGACGGUACCAUUGAAGGAAGCACCGGCUAACUCCGUGCCAGCAGCCGCGGUAAUACGGAGGGUGCGAGCGUUAUUCGGAAUUACUGGGCGUAAAGGGCGCGCAGGCUGUUUGGUAAGUCAGAUGUGAGAGCCCGGGGCUUAACCCCGGAAGUGCAUUUGAAACUACCAAACUUGAGUAUGGGAGAGGGAAGUGGAAUUCCUGGUGUAGAGGUGAAAUUCGUAGAUAUCAGGAGGAACAUCGGUGGCGGAGGCGACUUCCUUGACCAAUACUGACGCUGAGGCGCGAAGGCGUGGGGAGCAAACAGGAUUAGAUACCCUGGUAGUCCACGCAGUAAACGGUGAACACUAGGUGUAGCGGGUAUUGACCCCUGCUGUGCCGGAGCUAACGCAUUAAGUGUUCCGCCUGGGAAGUACGGCCGCAAGGUUAAAACUCAAAGGAAUUGACGGGGGCCUGCACAAGCGGUGGAGCAUGUGGUUUAAUUCGACGCAACGCGAAGAACCUUACCUGGGUUUGACAUCCCGAGAAGUCUUCUGAAAAGUAGAUGUGCCCUUCGGGGAGCUCGGUGACAGGUGCUGCAUGGCUGUCGUCAGCUCGUGUCGUGAGAUGUUGGGUUAAGUCCCGCAACGAGCGCAACCCUUGUCUCUAGUUACCAUCAUUCAGUUGGGGACUCUAGAGAUACUGCCCCGGUCAACGGGGAGGAAGGUGGGGAUGACGUCAAGUCCUCAUGGCCUUUAUAUCCA
Molecule: ribosomal RNA, 1231 nt
Filed under: metagenome
Description: bacterial SSU rRNA
Rfam family: Bacterial small subunit ribosomal RNA
Source: RNAcentral